UCUUCCUUCAACAUGUUCUUUCAUCUCUUCCUCCCCAAAUCAACUCCCUCUCCAGUCUCCACCACCAAAUCUACCCUCAAGUAGUAGAGAUCGACAGGAGCUUCGACCUUCGAGGGUGGUUGCAGCAGCACUCCUGAAGGCCGUGGUGGGCGUGGGCUGAUUGCAUCUGUUUGCGGCUGAGAGGCAACGCCGGGACAGGGGUGAAUCAAGGCCACGGCGACCUGUGCAGCGUGGUGUUGCCGAGCUGCUCUCUAGUUAGCAUUUAGCAAAGAUCGGUAAGGCUGAGAAGUCAAGAACUUGAGCUACGCUUGCAAAACUUGAUAUAUGAAUCAUAUUACUGCGCUUGAUGACUUCUGGAAGUGCUAUUACGUACCAUUUCAAUUGGAUACAACUACUGCAGAAGGCUAUAUUUGUGUUUUAUUUUGACUUUUGAGAGAGCAAAGCCACAAUCUAUUAAGUGUUCGUCAAUUUUCAACUCUGGAUAUACUCUCCCUAUGCGUGUGUGUUUUUUUUCUUUUGUUUUUCGAAGGGCAACUCUGCAUGUACUCCCAAUUUUUACUAUUGAGAUUAACUUUGUAAUGCAGUAUAUAUAUUUUUUGUUCAAGC
RNAcentral lists this small RNA (606 nucleotides) under Oryza sativa Japonica Group (Japanese rice). Its description in RNAcentral is "sRNA Os12g0621050". The record is from RNAcentral. Lineage: Eukaryota; Viridiplantae; Streptophyta; Magnoliopsida; Poales; Poaceae.